RNAcentral lists this ribosomal RNA (499 nucleotides) under uncultured bacterium. RNAcentral describes it as "partial 16S ribosomal RNA". It matches the Rfam family "Bacterial small subunit ribosomal RNA", at positions 30 to 523 of the family's 1533-position model. The record is from RNAcentral.
AUUGAACGCUGGCGGAAUGCUUUACACAUGCAAGUCGAACGGCAGCACGGACUUCGGUCUGGUGGCGAGUGGCGAACGGGUGAGUAAUACAUCGGAACGUGCCCAGUCGUGGGGGAUAACGUAGCGAAAGCUACGCUAAUACCGCAUACGAUCUAAGGAUGAAAGCGGGGGAUCGCAAGACCUCGCGCGAUUGGAGCGGCCGAUGGCAGAUUAGGUAGUUGGUGGGGUAAAGGCUCACCAAGCCGACGAUCUGUAGCUGGUCUGAGAGGACGACCAGCCACACUGGGGCGGAGGGACGGCCCAGACUCCUACGGGAGGCAUCAAUGGGGAAUUUUUGACAAUGGGGGCAACCCUGAUCCAGCAAUGCCGCGUGAGUGAAGAAGGCCUUCGGUUUGUAAAGCUCUUUUGUCAGGGAAGAAACACCGGCUCUAACACAGUCCGGGAAUGACGGUACCUGAAGAAUAAGCACCGGCUAACUACGUGCCAGCCGCCGCCGUAA